CAAACAGAUCUAAUUACAAAGAAAGUGAACAAGGGUCUUUACGUCCUUAGACGAUUAAGAGAUUUUGUUGAUGUAAGGACUCUAGUAACAGUUUACAAAACCUUAAUUCAACCACACUUUGAUUACUGCUCGCAAGUAUGGGGUUGUCUUGGAAUUACCCUUCAAAACCAAUUGCAACGUUUACAAAAUAGAGCAGCACGUAUCAUUACAAAGCGUAGGUACGAAUUUAGAUCAGCCGAUAUACUUAAAGAAUUAGAUUUACCUAAUUUAAGUCUCAGAAGAAAUAAUCAUUUAUGCACUACUAUGUAUCAGGUAAAUAAUAACAUGGUGCCUGAUUACCUAAUUGAUUUAUUCACGAAAACCAGUACACUUCGUAAUCAUCAAACUAGGCAGGCUGAAUUUAACUUUGCACUCCCGAUGCCAAGUACAACUUUUGUAAAAAUCAUUCUCAUACAGAGGAGCUGUAGCUUGGAAUGAUUUAUUACCUAAUAUAAAAAAUAUGGGUUCAUUGUCAACCUUCAAAAUGGCUCUAGUGUCAAUUAGUG
Non-coding RNA from Paramuricea clavata, 545 nucleotides. The record is from the annotation of a GenBank genome assembly. NCBI's taxonomy places the organism in Eukaryota, Metazoa, Cnidaria, Anthozoa, Malacalcyonacea, Plexauridae.